CUGCUCACUUGGGCAGUACAUAUACUAAAACUGGAACAAGUCAGAGAUUAGUAUGGCCCCAGCACAAGGAUAACACACAAAUUUAUGAAGUCUUUUCUCUCUAU
This is a small nuclear RNA of Sciurus vulgaris (Eurasian red squirrel), 104 nucleotides long. The record is from Ensembl. NCBI's taxonomy places the organism in Eukaryota, Metazoa, Chordata, Mammalia, Rodentia, Sciuridae.